GUGGGGAAUUUUGGACAAUGGGGGCAACCCUGAUCCAGCCAUGUCGCGUGUGUGAAGAAGGCCUUUUGGUUGUAAAGCACUUUAAGCGAGGAGGAGGCUACCGAGAUUAAUACUCUUGGAUAGUGGACGUUACUCGCAGAAUAAGCACCGGCUAACUCUGUGCCAGCAGCCGCGGUAAUACAGAGGGUGCAAGCGUUAAUCGGAUUUACUGGGCGUAAAGCGCGCGUAGGUGGCCAAUUAAGUCAAAUGUGAAAUCCCCGAGCUUAACUUGGGAAUUGCAUUCGAUACUGGUUGGCUAGAGUAUGGGAGAGGAUGGUAGAAUUCCAGGUGUAGCGGUGAAAUGCGUAGAGAUCUGGAGGAAUACCGAUGGCGAAGGCAGCCAUCUGGCCUAAUACUGACACUGAGGUGCGAAAGCAUGGGGAGCAAACAGGAUUAGAUACCCUAGUAGUCC
This 451-nucleotide ribosomal RNA is filed under the name uncultured bacterium. Its description in RNAcentral is "partial 16S ribosomal RNA". It matches the Rfam family "Bacterial small subunit ribosomal RNA", at positions 354 to 796 of the family's 1533-position model. The record is from RNAcentral.